UCUGGUGGAAAAACAUCUGUAGAUUUGGUGGGGCUGUGAGUGAGACUCACAGCUAGAGCUGGUGGAGUCUCAGCUCAACACCCUCUGUCCACUGUUGGGAGGUGAAACCCAAUCCCUCACUCUA
This is a small nucleolar RNA of Sorex fumeus (smoky shrew), 124 nucleotides long. RefSeq annotates it as small nucleolar RNA ACA64. The transcript has a single exon. Lineage: Eukaryota; Metazoa; Chordata; Mammalia; Eulipotyphla; Soricidae. The record is from RefSeq and is a predicted model, not a curated record.